This 268-nucleotide unclassified non-coding RNA is filed under the name Hevea brasiliensis (rubber tree). Lineage: Eukaryota; Viridiplantae; Streptophyta; Magnoliopsida; Malpighiales; Euphorbiaceae. The record is from RNAcentral.
GCAGCAUUACCACCUCUCAAAGUCAACUUUGAUAAAAGCAAUCACUAUGCAGAUCAAAAUGCGUACACAAGUACAUGUAUAAUCACUGAGUCGGUUAGUAUCAGUUGCUUAGAAGCAUUGUCUAGGACACAUAUUCAUAUGUAGUGGAUACAAUCAUGGGCAAUAUUGUUGAAAAAAUUAUCAAAGAAAAUUUAUAUAUUGAAAAAAAACAACAAGAAGCUUUUGUUCAGAUCUAAUGAACCUUACCAGUAGAGUCUGGAGGCAUGGU